GCCGAGGUGGCGGAAUUGGUAGACGCGCUGGUUUCAGGUAUCAGUGGUGGCAACACCGUGAAGGUUCAAGUCCUUUUCUCGGCACCA
RNAcentral lists this transfer RNA (87 nucleotides) under Beggiatoa leptomitoformis. RNAcentral describes it as "tRNA-Leu". It matches the Rfam family "tRNA". Rfam says of the family: Transfer RNA (tRNA) molecules are approximately 80 nucleotides in length. Lineage: Bacteria; Pseudomonadati; Pseudomonadota; Gammaproteobacteria; Thiotrichales; Thiotrichaceae. RNAcentral also lists the same sequence under 1 other name. The record is from RNAcentral.